This 1451-nucleotide ribosomal RNA is filed under the name uncultured organism. RNAcentral's name for it is "16S ribosomal RNA". It matches the Rfam family "Bacterial small subunit ribosomal RNA". The record is from RNAcentral.
GAUGAACGCUUGCUACAGGCUUAACACAUGCAAGUCGAGGGGCAGCAUGGUCUUAGCUUGCUAAGGCCGAUGGCGACCGGCGCACGGGUGAGUAACGCGUAUCCAACCUGCCUUACACUCUUGGACAGCCUUCUGAAAGGGAGAUUAAUACAAGAUGUUAUCAUGAGUAAGCAUUUUCGCAUGAUUAAAGGUUUACCGGUGUAAGAUGGGGAUGCGUUCCAUUAGAUAGUAGGCGGGGUAACGGCCCACCUAGUCUUCGAUGGAUAGGGGUUCUGAGAGGAAGGUCCCCCACAUUGGAACUGAGACACGGUCCAAACUCCUACGGGAGGCAGCAGUGAGGAAUAUUGGUCAAUGGACGAGAGUCUGAACCAGCCAAGUAGCGUGAAGGAUGAAGGUUCUAUGGAUUGUAAACUUCUUUUAUACGGGAAUAAACGAAUCCACGCGUGGAUUUUUGCAUGUACCGUAUGAAUAAGGAUCGGCUAACUCCGUGCCAGCAGCCGCGGUAAUACGGAGGAUCCGAGCGUUAUCCGGAUUUAUUGGGUUUAAAGGGAGCGUAGAUGGGUUGUUAAGUCAGUUGUGAAAGUUUGCGGCUCAACCGUAAAAUUGCAAUUGAUACUGGCAGUCUUGAGUACAGUUGAGGUAGGCGGAAUUCGUGGUGUAGCGGUGAAAUGCUUAGAUAUCACGAAGAACUCCGAUUGCGAAGGCAGCUUACUAACCUGUAACUGACAUUGAUGCUCGAAAGUGUGGGUAUCAAACAGGAUUAGAUACCCUGGUAGUCCACACGGUAAACGAUGAAUACUCGCUGUAGGCGAUAUACAGUCUGCGGCCAAGCGAAAGCAUUAAGUAUUCCACCUGGGGAGUACGCCGGCAACGGUGAAACUCAAAGGAAUUGACGGGGGCCCGCACAAGCGGAGGAACAUGUGGUUUAAUUCGAUGAUACGCGAGGAACCUUACCCGGGCUUAAAUUGCAACCGAAUAUGGCGGAAACGCUAUAGCUAGCAAUAGCGGUUGUGAAGGUGCUGCAUGGUUGUCGUCAGCUCGUGCCGUGAGGUGUCGGCUUAAGUGCCAUAACGAGCGCAACCCUUGCCGAUAGUUACUAACAGGUUAUGCUGAGGACUCUGUCGGGACUGCCAUCGUAAGAUGUGAGGAAGGUGGGGAUGACGUCAAAUCAGCACGGCCCUUACGUCCGGGGCUACACACGUGUUACAAUGGGGGGUACAGAGGGCUGCUACCACGCAAGUGGAUGCCAAUCCCAAAAACCUCUCUCAGUUCGGAUUGAAGUCUGCAACCCGACUUCAUGAAGCUGGAUUCGCUAGUAAUCGCGCAUCAGCCACGGCGCGGUGAAUACGUUCCCGGGCCUUGUACACACCGCCCGUCAAGCCAUGGGAGCCGGGGGUACCUGAAGUGCGUAACCGCAAGGAGCGCCCUAGGGUAAAACUGGUGACUGGGGC